GUGAAUCAUCGAAUUUUUGAACGCAAAUUGCGCUUCCUGGCAUCCCGGGAAGUAUGCCUGUUUGAGGGUCAGUAGUAUCAAAAAUCCGGGUGGGUUGCAUAUUGUGACGUUGCUGGAGUCUGGGUUAUCUUAACUUUUAUGGGUAAGUGGCUUAAAAUUGACCUUAUUUUCGCAUUUUUAGACGCA
Molecule: unclassified non-coding RNA, 186 nt
Filed under: Glomeromycetes sp.
Lineage: Eukaryota; Fungi; Glomeromycota; Glomeromycetes
Description: partial contains 5.8S ribosomal RNA and internal transcribed spacer 2
Rfam family: 5.8S ribosomal RNA (bases 1-71)
Source: RNAcentral